Molecule: ribosomal RNA, 450 nt
Filed under: uncultured bacterium
Lineage: Bacteria
Description: partial 16S ribosomal RNA
Rfam family: Bacterial small subunit ribosomal RNA
Source: RNAcentral
GUGGGGAAUAUUGGACAAUGGGCGAAAGCCUGAUCCAGCCAUGCCGCGUGUGUGAAGAAGGUCUUCGGAUUGUAAAGCACUUUAAGUUGGGAGGAAGGGCAGUAAGUUAAUACCUUGCUGUUUUGACGUUACCGACAGAAUAAGCACCGGCUAACUUCGUGCCAGCAGCCGCGGUAAUACGAAGGGUGCAAGCGUUAAUCGGAAUUACUGGGCGUAAAGCGCGCGUAGGUGGUUUUGUAAGUUGGAGGUGAAAUUCCCGGGCUCAACCUGGGAACUGCCUCCAAAACUGCAUGACUAGAGUACGGUAGAGGGUAGUGGAAUUUCCUGUGUAGCGGUGAAAUGCGUAGAUAUAGGAAGGAACACCAGUGGCGAAGGCGACUACCUGGACUGAUACUGACACUGAGGUGCGAAAGCGUGGGGAGCAAACAGGAUUAGAAACCCUAGUAGUCC